This is an RNA transcript of Otolemur garnettii (small-eared galago), 1359 nucleotides long. It is a transcript of the gene named NAD kinase pseudogene, with no coding region annotated. The transcript has a single exon. The record is from RefSeq and is a predicted model, not a curated record. Lineage: Eukaryota; Metazoa; Chordata; Mammalia; Primates; Galagidae.
UCUCAUUUACUGACUAUGGAAAUGGAACAAGAAAAAAUGCCCGUGAACAAGAGAUGUGUCCAGAUUCAGCCAUGUACUGCUGUUCUGCAUGCCAUGAGGACGAGGCUUGGAGCUACAGCCACCCCAUCCAGGGCUGGGCCAAGUCCCGCAGCCUGUCCACCUUGCCCCCGCUCCCCCCCCCCCGGGGGGAGCACCAAGGAGUUCAGGAGGACGCGCUCUCUACACGGGCCCUGCCCAGUGACCACCUUUGGCCCAAAGGCCUGAGUGCUGCAGAACCCUCAGACCAUCAUGCACAUUCAGGACACUGCGAGCCAGCGGCUGGCAUGGAGUAAGUCUCCAAAGAGUGUUCUGGUGGUCAAGAAGGUCCGUGAUGCCAGCCUGCUGCAGCUGUUCAAGGAGCUCUGCACAUACCUCAUGGAGGAGAGCAAUAUGGUUGUGUAUGUGGAAAAGAAGGUGCUAGAAGACCCUGCCAUCGUGAGUGAUGAAAACUUUGGGGCAGUGAAGAAGAAAUUCUGCACUUUCUGAGAAGAUUAUGAUGACAUUUCUAAUCAGAGAGACCUCAUCAUCUGCCUGGCAGGGCAUGGGACCCUGCUGUAUGUAUCCUCUCUGUUCCAGGGCAGCGUGCCUCCAGUCAUGGCCUUCCACCUCAGCUCGCUGGGCUUCCUGACACCAUUCAACUUUGCGGACUUUCAGUCUCAAGUUACCCAGGUGAUAGAGGGGAAUGCAGCUGUUGUCCUUCAGAGCCGGCUGAAGGUCAGGGUGGUGAAGGAGCCCAGGGCCAGGAAGGCGCCCAUCCACAGCACACCCACUGCAGGCCUGGACGUGGAGGCCAGGCAGCAGGCCAUGCAGUACCAGGUCCUGAAUGAGGUGGGGAUCGACAGAGGCCCCUCCUCAUAUCUGUCCAACGUGGACGUCUACCUGGACGGACACCUCAUCACCACAGUGCAGGGUGACGGAGUGAUCAUGUCCACUCCAACUGGCAGCAUGGCGUAUACAGUGGUGGCCAGGGCCUCCAUGAUCCACCCCAACGUGCCAGCCAUCAUGAUCACACCCAUCUGCCCCCACUCACUGUCCUUCCGGUCCAUCGUGGUUCCUGCAGGGGUGGAGCUGAAGAUCAUGCUGUCACCAGAAGCACGGAACACAGCGUGGGUGUCCUUUGACAGCCGGAAGAGACAGGAGAUCCGCCAUGGAGACAGCAUCAGCAUCACUACCUCUUGCUACCCGCUGCCCUCCAUCUGCAUGCAAGACCCCAUGAGCGACUGGUUUGAGAGCCUGGUGCAGUGUCUGCACUGGAAUGUGCACAAGAAGCAGGCCCACUUCCCUGAGGAGGAGCGGGGCGAGGGCAGGUGCGUGGGCUAG